RNAcentral lists this ribosomal RNA (496 nucleotides) under uncultured bacterium. RNAcentral describes it as "partial 16S ribosomal RNA". It matches the Rfam family "Bacterial small subunit ribosomal RNA", at positions 28 to 507 of the family's 1533-position model. The record is from RNAcentral.
GAUGAACGCUGGCGGCGUGCCUAAUACAUGCAAGUCGAGCGAACAGACGAGGAGCUUGCUCCUCUGACGUUAGCGGCGGACGGGUGAGUAACACGUGGAUAACCUACCUAUAAGACUGGGAUAACUUCGGGAAACCGGAGCUAAUACCGGAUAAUAUAUUGAACCGCAUGGUUCAAUAGUGAAAGACGGUUUUGCUGUCACUUAUAGAUGGAUCCGCGCCGCAUUAGCUAGUUGGUAAGGUAACGGCUUACCAAGGCAACGAUGCGUAGCCGACCUGAGAGGGUGAUCGGCCACACUGGAACUGAGACACGGUCCAGACUCCUACGGGAGGCAGCAGUAGGGAAUCUUCCGCAAUGGGCGAAAGCCUGACGGAGCAACGCCGCGUGAGUGAUGAAGGUCUUCGGAUCGUAAAACUCUGUUAUUAGGGAAGAACAAAUGUGUAAGUAACUAUGCACGUCUUGACGGUACCUAAUCAGAAAGCCACGGCUAACACGUG